This 3176-nucleotide unclassified non-coding RNA is filed under the name Hevea brasiliensis (rubber tree). The record is from RNAcentral. Lineage: Eukaryota; Viridiplantae; Streptophyta; Magnoliopsida; Malpighiales; Euphorbiaceae.
CGCCGGGGCACCCCCCCACAAGUUCUUUCUUCUGUCAGAAGCCAACCAAUUGUCCUUGCUCCACACCGGCAAUGUAAGGGGACACCGGUGACUCUGGAUGAUUGCCAUGUCCACCAAAUGAUGGCAAGAGGUAGAACACUGAAGGAGGAGCGAGAAGCAUUGUCGGAUCUUUAGGUUCAGAUUUCCGGAGAUCCCGACUUUGGAUCUCUAGGCCAUUUGCUAUCUGACCAGAAUUUGUGGCUCGAGUUUUAGUGGUAAAUCUGCUCUCAUGCUCUCAUUGGAUUUAAGAGAUUGGAGUUGUAGCUUUACUCCUCUAGUAACAGUUAGACCUUAGUGGCUGAGAUAAGUAAUCGACUCCCUCUCAUAUUGUAUUGGAAUGUUUAUAUUCUCACAUGGUAUAUUCGUACAUGGGUGCAUAAGUAGCUUUAAAUUAUUUUCUUGUAUGAUUAUUUUAUGAAUUAUUUGAGGGUGAACGGCUGAUUAGUAAUUAUAAAAAUUAUAAUUAUAUUUAAUAUGGAACUUGCUAAGUGGAAUGGUCAUUCUUAUUCAUUAUUUUUCUCAGCAACAAGAGAAACUUUUCAAAGUUUAACCUGCAUUUCCUCAUAAAGUAUUAUUCUGACUGAUUGUAUUUUAUUUUAAUUUUUUACAUUGUUAAAAGUCUAUUGUGACUCUGACACUAAGUGCCUAUUUGUACUAUAUUUUUAAUUAAUAAAAUAUAUUCUCUCAAAAAAGUGUGUAUUGAUUGAGCAUGUUCAUAUAGUUAUAGAUGGAUUGAGUUGAGCCUUCUUAUUUGUAGUGUGAUUCUACGUAGUUGAGUUAGAUUCUUAAAGUUAUAUAAUUUUAUAUUCUAUAUGUUUUGAGUCUGGCUAUUUAUUUUGAGAAUAGUAAGAUUUAGUAUGAAUUUUAAUGAACUUGAUCAUUACUCAAAUUCUAAUGCUGACCCAGCCAUGGGAUCUGAUUCCAAUUCCGUGCCUAUUAAAUUACUUUUGUAUUCUGAUCGCCCUCGAGACCUUUGUUAAUGGACGUCUUUCUCAGUUUUAAGAAAAAAGGGGAAAAAAAAAACCACACUAAUGUUGGGCAUGAGUAGAAAAGGCUGUGUCCUUGGUUCCCUUUUUCCAUGCUUAUGAAUUUGGAAGCUUUUUUAAUUUGUUUUAACAUCUUUUUAAAUUUUAUUAUCAAAACCUUUUUCUUAUCAAGUUAUUAUAGAAAUGUUUCAUAAUAACAAACGCAGUUUACAUUUAUUUAUUUUUAUAAUUGUCUAUUGGUAGGGUCUACUUCUGUUCCUAACUUAAGAUGGGUAUAUGACUGAGAAAUGACAAAUUAACAAAUCCUGGCAACAUUAGGUCCCUCUAUCAUAACUGCACUGUGCACUCAGGAUGUUGAGCUAUUAAGAUUCAAAUAUAUCCCACCUAUCUUUGGGUACCAAAAUAAAACAGAUUUGACUAAGUCACUUAAUCUAUUAACAAACCGUAAAUUGAAGUAAGAAAAGAACAAAACUGAGAAAGUAGAGUACAUUGGAUACUUCAUUAAACAUACACAUUCAAUCCCAACCACAUUUUGCUUAGAAAAAAACAACAAAUAUAAAAAAUAGUUCUUUAAAACUAACAAAAAGAAGCUACCCCACCAAGCAAGUACAUUCUUGGACGUUUAUAGAGAAACCCCACAGCUGAAAACUCAAACAUCUGCCCAAAAAAAGAAAACAAAACAAAGAAAAAAAAGAUGUUUAUAGACAAGAAGUAUUAGAUAAACGAAGAGAAAUUUAUUUAUACAAAAUAAGAAAGAAAAAAAUUUACCAUUAUGUGUUCUUGAAUUGAAGAUGGGGAAUUCAUGUGAAGAGGAGGGAAUAGAGAUUGAGAGUCUGGUUGUUGAUACUGAUGUGCUAUUUGGUGACUUAUCAUCCAAGUUUAGCCAUGAAUCUUUGUUUUUUGGCGGCCAUUCGUCAAAGAAACGAUGAAAAAUCUUCUGGGGCUCUUCUUCUCUCUCAAUUUUCGUAGGUAAGAGACCUUUCAUAUCAGUUCCCAGAAGAUAACUUUGUUGAUACUGCUUUUGUUGUUUUGGGGCAUCAUGAUCAUGAUCACGAUCACUUAAGCUAUGAAGCUGCAAGUAAGAGUAUUCGUUAUGUAAACUAGACGAACUCCUCUGGUUUGAAGAAGAUGUAGUAGACGAUGAGCUCAUUGUGAGUGGAGUGAAUUGCCAAGCAUUAUCCAAUGAUGAACCAGAUAAGUUUCUCAUAGAACCAGAGUGUUCUGAGAAGAAAGCAUGCUCAUCAACCUCCUCUUUCAGCCCAUAAGCACUCCUGUUACUUAUUUUCAACAGAAAAGGAGAAAAAAAAAAUCAAACCAAUGUUCAAGAAAGCAAUCACAAGGAAAAUAAAAAACAAGGAAAUACAAAUGCUACUGUCUUUUUUUCAAAUGAACCUGUAGUCUGUGUAAUUGUUACUCAGGGAACAAGAACCGCCAGAGUCCAAAAGCAAUGGAGUAGAGUUGUCUUGGGGUGAAAGACCAAUUCCAGGAGGUCUUGAAGAAGUAUGUGAAGACAAAAACUGAUGAUUGAGAUAGGAAUUGUACCCAGAAUAAUGAAGGUGAUUUUGGUGGGUCUCAGAUGACAAUAAAGAGAUAGAGUGGGAAGGUGGGGUUAAUAAAGUAGAGUGGUUCUUGGCGAUUGAUGAGACGGUUGGUGUUAUUGAAGGGUUCGCUGUCGCUGUUUGUGUUGCAACUUCCACAGGCUUUCUUGAACGGUUUUUUCCUCUGUGCAUGUGUCUCUCACAGUACUUGGAAUCUGGAUAUGCUUCUUUUGAGCACCUCCAUUUUUUUCCAUCUGUUCUCCUGCACCUCCCUGGCUCUGGGUCUAUUUUCCUCCCUAGACCCAUUUGGAAGCAGCUCCACCCAACUGCAAAUACAAAGCAAAUCAAUAUAUAUAUAUACACAAGAAUCCACUUUAAAAAAAAGGAAUAUAUCAAGAAAUUUGUAGAGAUACAAAAAGAGGGUUCUGCUGGGCUUACCAUGUGAAUGUUGGCGGGGAAAAAGCUUUGAAGAGAGUGGGGAGUCCAAGCAGCUUCGCUUUAUGGUGAAGAGAAGAUCAGUUGGAAUGGGAAUGCCUGAGACCAUAUACUUGAAGAUUAGUGCUUGAUGCUCAAGCUCUUGCCACUGAGAUGCAGUGAAUGGAAAUUUGUUUGC